UAUCUGCAGACUUUAUGCAUGCAAAUUAUUCUUGCAACAGACAAUGGUGUUCUAACUGGCAAUCCAAAGUAUCAUGCACAAGGCUGCCUUGCCGUAUCCCUCAACUUAAUUUUUACGGGCACAGAUGUGGUCUGGCGGUAUCCCCUUUAUGCCACCUCUGCAAUGAGCUGGAAUCCAUCGAUCACUUUUUAUUAUCGUGUCGGCGGUUUUCUACUCAUCAAAAACUAUGUUUACAAAUUCCGCUUCGAAAUCCAGGACUGCCUUUGUGCAGUACUGCUGUACUCUCACUUGGAGUAACGGCAUUAGGAUACAGCCACAGGAACGCUUGCCAGUUAGAAUUUCCUCUGUGACACAAAAAGAUUGCCUUACUAAUAUUUCGCAUUUGCCAUGACUGAUAUAUUUCUCCUUCAAUAAGCGGUAAAUAUAGAAAAUUCUAAGCAAAAACACAAAUUCACAGUUAUAUUAAUAAUAUUAUUAUUCGAAGCUUGCUCAUUUUUACGUCUAUCCUCCAUGCAAUUUAUUAACAAGUUUGUGUUACGGCAUUCCUAUCUACAAGGCUGACUACCUUAUUAUACACUACUUUAUUUCUAUUAUUAUCGGUUUAUUUCUAAUCUUGGAUUAUUCAUGUAUUUCCCCUUCUUAUUAUUUAUUUAUUUAUUAACUUUUUUAUUUCGUUUCUCAAUCAUAUUACCACCCGGUUCGUGGCCUAUCACCCACAGUGGGUUUGUGCCAAUAAUUCAGCCUUCACCAUCAUCAUCAUCGCUAACACCUAGCCUCUACAUAUGCAUCUAGAUAGAUCGUACCUCGCGCUGGCCCGUGGAACGAGCCCUGCAACGGAACUGCUGCCACGGAACACUUGCCUGCUGAAACUCGUCUGUGCGGCUGGUACCGCGGACCUGUCGUUUGUCUCGGCCGUUGCAGCUCGUCUUGUUUGCAGAAACUAUGAGCGUCGGCUAUGAGAUCACCGCAGACACGAGAAGAGAGCUAUGGGUCACAGAAGAAAAUAUGUCCAGGAUCAACGCUCACUCCGCCCAGAGAGGCUUCCGGACUAGAAAGGUCAACAGCACGGAACUUAUCUUGACCAUGGACGAUGAAGGUAGGGCUCAGCAAGCCGUGAAAGCCGCUACUCCUGUGGGACAUAAGGAACGUGCUAUCACUACGAACCUUCCUCUUGGGGAAAUGCGUGUGGUCAUUGAACACAAGGAGUUGGCGGGGCCAUCGACAGCCCCCCGGAGGUUGGGAUCCUUUCUCACAGCCAGUUCACGGAGCCUCUCUGUAGAUCUCAUGAGGAGGCUACUUCAUCUCAUCAUGCACGAGCUGGAGUGAAUCGUGCACAAUAAACUGUGUAAAUACCAACACACUUCAAUUUCAA
This is a long non-coding RNA of Dermacentor andersoni, 1372 nucleotides long. RefSeq lists it as uncharacterized. The record is from RefSeq and is a predicted model, not a curated record. NCBI's taxonomy places the organism in Eukaryota, Metazoa, Arthropoda, Arachnida, Ixodida, Ixodidae.